UAGGGAAUCUUCGGCAAUGGGGGCAACCCUGACCGAGCAACGCCGCGUGAGUGAAGAAGGUUUUCGGAUCGUAAAGCUCUGUUGUAAGAGAAGAACGUGUGUGAGAGUGGAAAGUUCACACAGUGACGGUAACUUACCAGAAAGGAACGGCUAACUACGUGCCAGCAGCCGCGGUAAUACGUAGGUCCCGAGCGUUGUCCGGAUUUAUUGGGCGUAAAGCGAGCGCAGGCGGUUUAAUAAGUCUGAAGUUAAAGGCAGUGGCUUAACCAUUGUUCGCUUUGGAAACUGUUAAACUUGAGUGCAGAAGGGGAGAGUGGAAUUCCAUGUGUAGCGGUGAAAUGCGUAGAUAUAUGGAGGAACACCGGUGGCGAAAGCGGCUCUCUGGUCUGUAACUGACGCUGAGGCUCGAAAGCGUGGGGAGCAAACAGG
RNAcentral lists this ribosomal RNA (429 nucleotides) under bacterium. RNAcentral's name for it is "partial 16S ribosomal RNA". It matches the Rfam family "Bacterial small subunit ribosomal RNA", at positions 355 to 776 of the family's 1533-position model. The record is from RNAcentral.